CCUACGGGUGGCAGCAGUGGGGAAUAUUGGACAAUGGGCGAAAGCCUGAUCCAGCCAUGCCGCGUGUGUGAAGAAGGCCUUCGGGUUGUAAAGCACUUUCAGUGGGGAAGAAAGCCUUGGGGCUAAUACCCUCGAGGAAGGACAUCACCCACAGAAGAAGCACCGGCUAACUCCGUGCCAGCAGCCGCGGUAAUACGGAGGGUGCGAGCGUUAAUCGGAAUUACUGGGCGUAAAGCGCGCGUAGGCGGUCUGAUAAGCCGGUUGUGAAAGCCCCGGGCUCAACCUGGGAACGGCAUCCUGAACUGUCAGGCUAGAGUGCAGGUGAGGAAGGUAGAAUUCCCGGUGUAGCGGUGAAAUGCGUAGAGAUCGGGAGGAAUACCAGUGGCGAAGGCGGCCUUCUGGACUGACACUGACGCUGAGGUGCGAAAGCGUGGGUAGCAAACAGGAUUAGAUACCCGAGUAGUC
RNAcentral lists this ribosomal RNA (465 nucleotides) under Vreelandella stevensii. RNAcentral describes it as "partial 16S ribosomal RNA". It matches the Rfam family "Bacterial small subunit ribosomal RNA", at positions 338 to 795 of the family's 1533-position model. Lineage: Bacteria; Pseudomonadati; Pseudomonadota; Gammaproteobacteria; Oceanospirillales; Halomonadaceae. The record is from RNAcentral.